This 248-nucleotide long non-coding RNA is filed under the name Phoenix dactylifera (date palm). RNAcentral describes it as "long non-coding RNA (PDAC_LNC010320)". Lineage: Eukaryota; Viridiplantae; Streptophyta; Magnoliopsida; Arecales; Arecaceae. The record is from RNAcentral.
UCUCCUUAGCACCUACGUCCACUCCCCAAGCGACCCCUUGGGAAUUCACUAUAAUCCCGCGGAUUACAGUUGGAUUGUUUUCCGGGCUCACAAUCCAAAAACCUUUACACUUUGGUUUUUCGGGUUCACCAAAAACCUAUGUUGGUUUUAUGGGCUCACCAACGAACCUAUACAAUUGGUUUUACGGGUUCACCAACAACCUACGUUGGUUUUACGGGCUUACCAACAACCUACGUUGGUUUUACGGG